UGGUGGGUAGUUUGACUGGGGCGGUCUCCUCCCAAAGAGUAACGGAGGAGCACGAAGGUUAGCUAAUCACGGUCGGACAUCGUGAGGUUAGUGCAAAGGCAUAAGCUAGCUUGACUGCGAGAGUGACGGCUCGAGCAGGUACGAAAGUAGGUCUUAGUGAUCCGGUGGUUCUGAAUGGAAGGGCCAUCGCUCAACGGAUAAAAGGUACUCCGGGGAUAACAGGCUGAUACCGCCCAAGAGUUCAUAUCGACGGCGGUGUUUGGCACCUCGAUGUCGGCUCAUCACAUCCUGGGGCUGAAGUAGGUCCCAAGGGUAUGGCUGUUCGCCAUUUAAAGUGGUACGCGAGCUGGGUUUAGAACGUCGUGAGACAGUUCGGUCCCUAUCUGCCGUGGGCGUUGGAAGAUUGAGAGGGGCUGCUCCUAGUACGAGAGGACCGGAGUGGACGAAUCACUGGUGUUCGGGUUGUCAUGCCAAUGGCAUUGCCCGGUAGCUAAAUUCGGAAGAGAUAACCGCUGAAAGCAUCUAAGCGGGAAACUUGCCUCGAGAUGAGUCUUCCCUGGGGCUUUAA
RNAcentral lists this ribosomal RNA (568 nucleotides) under Yersinia enterocolitica. RNAcentral's name for it is "partial 23S ribosomal RNA". It matches the Rfam family "Bacterial large subunit ribosomal RNA", at positions 2259 to 2824 of the family's 2925-position model. Lineage: Bacteria; Pseudomonadati; Pseudomonadota; Gammaproteobacteria; Enterobacterales; Yersiniaceae. The record is from RNAcentral.